CUUGCAUUGAGUUCUUCGCAUCAAGAUGGCAGAUCGGUCGCUUCAUGCGGUGCUAUUUCAAAUAAGAUGAUGGACUGGGAGUGCAGGGUGUGCAAAAAGAUUCAUCGUUCAAGACUCCACCUCCUCAGACACUACAGACUACAACAUAGACAGUGCUCAAAAAUAAGUCCACUUCCAUAGUUGAAGGACGCUUACUGCUGAGUCCAAAGAGGUUCAUACCAGUUACACAUAAUGGACAGAAGUGAAAGCACAUCUGUAAGCAUUGACUCUUGCGCAAUGAUCCUA
Long non-coding RNA from Paramisgurnus dabryanus, 285 nucleotides. RefSeq lists it as uncharacterized. Lineage: Eukaryota; Metazoa; Chordata; Actinopteri; Cypriniformes; Cobitidae. The record is from RefSeq and is a predicted model, not a curated record.